Cyprinus carpio carpio is the source of this 1021-nucleotide long non-coding RNA. The record is from Ensembl. NCBI's taxonomy places the organism in Eukaryota, Metazoa, Chordata, Actinopteri, Cypriniformes, Cyprinidae.
AUAACUACUCUGAUGUUUUCGCUCAUCAUGACCUUGACUUCGGUCACACAACAAAAGUCAAACAUCACAUUCGUCUGAAAGAUGAAACGCCAUUCAAACAGCGACCUCGCCCAAUACAUCCACAAGAUUUUGAAGCAGUGCGCCGCCAUCUCAAAACCCUUCUUGAUGCUGGAGUUAUCAGGGAAUCUGAGUCCCCCUUUUCAUCACCAAUUGUAGUCGUCAAAAAGAAGAAUGGUGAUAUCAGACUGUGUGUAGACUACAGAAAGCUAAACCUCCAAACUAUCAGGGACGCAUAUGCUCUACCUAAUUUAGAGGAGUCGUUUUCUGCACUCAGUGGGUCUCAAUGGUUUUCUGUAAUGGAUCUAAAAUCUGGAUACUACCAGAUCGAGAUGGAGGAAAGCGACAAACAAAAAACUGCCUUUGUCUGCCCUCUAGGGUUUUGGGAAUGGAACCGCAUGCCACAAGGGAUAACGAAUGCACCCUCCACAUUCCAGCGUUUGAUGGAAAAGUGCAUGGGUGAUAUGCAUUUGAGGGAAGUGCUCGUUUUCCUUGAUGACUUGAUUGUUUUCUCAAAGUCUUUGGAAGAACAUGAAAAAUGACUGAUCAGUGUCUUGAACCGACUAAGAGAUAGUGGCCUUAAGCUAUCACCAGAAAAGUGCUGUUUCUUCCAAACAUCAGUACGUUACUUAGGGCACAUUGUAUCAAGGAACGGAGUUGAGACGGAUCCAGAAAAGGUUAAAGCACUCAAGACCUGGCCGAGACCUCAGACCCUGAAAGAAUUAAAAUCCUUCCUGGGUUUCUCUGGUUACUAUCGGAGAUUUGUACAAGAUUAUGCCAAGAUUGUGAAGCCUUUGACCAACCUGACUGCUGGUUAUCCACCAACUCAAAGGAGAAACAAGCCAACCCAACCACCUGGCAAAUACUUUCACCCCAAGGAGCCUUUUGCGGAAAGAUGGACCUCUGCUUGUCAGCAGGCUUUCGAGAACAUCAUAGACAAGCUCACAUCGUCCCCUGUGUUAGG